AUCAUCAUUGUUAUUUACACAUCUAUGUAAUUGUAUUUUACAUAAGAGUUCUUCAACCCAUUAGAGCCAGUUUGUGACUUUCAAAGUUAUGCUAUUUGCAGUUUAUAAACUGUCACUCUUGGCUAUGAGGGCAAUAAGGCUCUGAAGGAAUUAAGGGGAUAGAUGUCUGUGCUGAUGGAAAUCAAUCACAACCUCAUUUGCUCAUUGACUUAAAACAAAAAUAUACACAGAGAAGUGAAAUAAUAAAUAACUGCAUGAACAUUAUUACUCAUGUAUUGCAUGUACGUCCUAUAUGUUUAUUAUACUACAAGUUCCAUAUUAUUGGUAUCAAUGAGAUGUAAGCAAAUAAAUGUUACAUUAUGCAUACUUUAAUAUGAAAACUAAUCGAUCAACUCUCUAAGAGUUAAUGAUAAAUUAGCAGCAUGCUGGCUUAUCGUGCACUAUUCUAUUGAUUAGUUAGCAGUUUUUUAUUUGCUACCAAAAUUAAAUACUUUUUUUACAGGUUAUUUUAUAAUAAAUUUAAUAAGAAGGCUAGUACAUAUCCUUAGCAAUGUUUAGUAAACAUAAUCCAAUUUAAUACAGAAUUGGUUAUAUAUUUUUCAAAGGUAAUAGUUAACAGCCAAAAUUUAGGAGAGAUGUCCCACCAAGACUCAAUCAACA
This is a non-coding RNA of Pelobates cultripes (western spadefoot toad), 660 nucleotides long. The record is from the annotation of a GenBank genome assembly. Lineage: Eukaryota; Metazoa; Chordata; Amphibia; Anura; Pelobatidae.